ACUAAGUAGAAUACCAUCCUGAAUGUGCCUGAUCUUGAAAGCUAAACAGGGUUGGGUCUGGUGAGUACUUUGAUGAGAAACUGUCUGGGAAUACCAGGUGCUGGAC
This 106-nucleotide ribosomal RNA is filed under the name Notamacropus eugenii (tammar wallaby). The record is from RNAcentral. Lineage: Eukaryota; Metazoa; Chordata; Mammalia; Diprotodontia; Macropodidae.